Long non-coding RNA from Heterocephalus glaber (naked mole-rat), 2056 nucleotides. The record is from Ensembl. NCBI's taxonomy places the organism in Eukaryota, Metazoa, Chordata, Mammalia, Rodentia, Bathyergidae.
CCUGGGCCUGCGGCUCGCCUGCCCUGGCCAUCACUGCCGAGUGGGCUCCAGGCCGCGGCAGCUGUGGAGCCCUCCCCGUGCCCUCCUGCCUGCCGUGGGGACAGAGAGGGACCCAGAGUCCCGACGAUGUCACCGGAGACCCUCGAGGAGCCAGGCCUGAAAUCUUUCCCCAGAGGUUUCUGUUCCGUGAAUUCUGAGUCCUCGUCUGCAGGCUGCCCCAGGACGGUGCCCUGGAGCCUGAAGCAGGGAUGGGAGUUCAGAUGCCGGAACCCUGAGACUGGCACGAGGUGGAGUGUGAGGCGCUGCAGGCUGCUCCCUGUGGCCUCUCGGGCCUGAAGAGGGCCUCCUCUUCCUGUGCCUAUGUCCUGAUCGCCUCUUCCUUUUUAGGGGUUUGGUUCUGACCCAGGGCUGCAGCUGCAUCGAAGUUGCUCUGCACUCUGAAUGAGCUGUCAGUCAGCUUCUGUCACGGUCACUGUCCCUGAGAACUUCAUCUCCCAUGGAGGAGAGGCUGUGUGCUGAUUCUUGUGCAGAGGAGAAGCUUCCAUGUUCAUGGUGCACCACGCUGGGCACGAGAGGAGUAGGGUGCCGUGAGCAUCACACAAGGGGGCAAAGAGAGGCAGGGAGCACGCUGGUCCCCUCUGAGGGACCACUCUGAGGGCCACCACAGCCCCUGCCUCGCCCCACCAGGCCCCUCAUCAUUCCCCAGUGCCCCACAGGGCCGGAGGUGGUCAAGCCCUGAGCACGUGCGCUGAGGACAACGUCUAGGCCAGGCCAUGGAGGAGCUGAACUUCACGUGUUGCCCCCCCUGAGGACGCUUGCAGUUUAACCAGGAGCCACUGCUCAUUCUGCACGCAUCGCCCGGACCUCACGAUGAGGUAGACUUUUCUCCACAUGUGGCCAGCAGGCAGGAGCGGCCAGCUCAGGUGCUUGGUAGGGGCUGGCACACGUGGGACUCACGUUCCUGCUACAACCACAGGAGUUGGCCCCAGUUCCCUGACAUCCAGGGUUCUGCCAUGAGGAAAGUGCCCCAGAGAGGGCUGCCAGCGGCUCCACUAAAUCUGUCCCUUGGGCUCCCCUUUGCCCCAUAGACAAAGCAGCUGCGCCCACAGCCUCUCUCCUGCCUCAGCCUCUUGGAUCAGACAUGUGUGGAACGGAGCAGGAAAGGCUGGAAAGAGCUCAGAUUUACACCCAGAGUCCAGGCUGCCCCUUCUGCAGCCGUGGUGACCACAGCUCUGUGACUCUACGCUCUACACACAGGGCUUCUGCAGCCCUUUUUAUUGAUUGACGUAUUUAAGUUGGUAGAGACAAAAGGAACACAAGGGUCAGCAGAGGAAAAUCUCCUGCCUGCCUCCAGCUGAACUCUCCCAGAAGACGCUAUGGAUGUGUGGACAUAUGCAGACGCACACACACGCAUGCACACGCUCACACACACACGCACAUGCUCACACACACACACGUGGUAGCAGUGUUCUUUGGCUGGAGUUACAAAGGGAGAAGGCUUACGUUGGCCUCCAUCCCAGCUGCCAGCCACAGUUUAUCCAGGGAGAGACUGCCCGUGCUGGCCCUGCUGAGAGGCUGGGGACCCCAAUCCCUCCAGGGUCCUCACUGAUCUGAGAGCUUGCAGGCCCUGCCCCUUGAAGUCCCCCACUCCCGGGCCUUGGGCGGUGUGAUAGCAGCAAUAAAAAUGCUGUUUUCACCAGCUGUGUCCAGGGCAGGGGUCUUAGAGACGGCUCCCUUCCCUAUAGGAAGAACCACCCACGUUUUCUUUUAAAUGGUCAUGUUUUCCCGGUGUGAAUGUGCCAUAAUUUGUGUCCUCGUUCGCUUACAGAGAGUGUUUAGCUUGUUUCCAACCUUUUGGAAUACAUUGAUGAUAUUAUUUCCCUAUUUUUUUGCUCUUGUUUUUGCUUUUUUGAGACAAGAUCUGGCUGUGUAGCCCAGGCCGGCCUCAAACUCGCUCCCUUGCUCCGCCUUGGCCUCCUGAGUGCUGGGAUGACAGGCCUGUGCUGUGGUGCCCGGCUGUCAGCUCCCUACUCUGGCCCGUUCCGUUCCACAGCUU